UCGACAAAGAUUUUGACCACCUUCGCUUCUGAACUGGGAAAAGUGGUAAACAUAAAAGUUGUAUUUCUACCUCUUAGCUUUCUAAUGGUCUAAAAAUCAUGUCAAUUAGACUUCUUUAGUGGGAGAUAUGAUAGAAAAAUUGAAACAUAUGCAAACUUAGACUGUUUCUCGCUGCAACGAGAAACUUGCUGCCAUGCUUGCUACCUUGCUUGAUUUUGACCUAUUUUUCACCCAUUUAACUUCAUGGAUUGAUCAUGGGUUUUUGCAAAACUCUGAGGUUAUUGAUCAAAGUUUGAAAUGAGGGGUUUUUAGUAAGAUAUUAAAUCAAUUGCAUUAUUUUUGAAAGAAGUGCAUCAUGAUUUUCAAAUUCCUUCUAUCGAUUGCUUGUUCCCUUCUUAUGUUCACUCACUGAGUUUUACACUCACAUUUUUAAACUUCAUGUUUUUAGAUUCGGAGGUAAUUGGGACCUAGAUUGGGUGUCCACAUAUGCUCGUCUUCUUGGUAGGUACUACGGCAUCUCAGUAGUUGUAUCGUCACCCACGGUCACUCCGUUGACAGUCAAGAGUCUUAUGCUUAUGUACAUGUAUAAGUAAUGAAGACCACUAAGAUUCAUGUUAAAAAUCAAAUAUGUAUAUUUGAUUACUGAUGCCACAGUAAGGUGGCAAAUGAGUGAUACUAUGUUAGCAUAAUACAAAUGUGAAUAUUGGAUUGCUAUAAAGCGUUACUGAAAUAUUUAAAAUUGAGUGUUGCAAUAUGUGGCUUUAGAAAUGAUGGUUGGGAAUGAUGAUCGGGUUUGCAUAAAAAGGCUUGCUUAGGCUUAGUGGGCUAUGCCCAUUAGGCCAAUAAACAGGUCAUGGCCUGGUAUUUGGGCUGUGACAAGUCUGAAGGCACUUGACACAAGGAUUCCUACACAUAGUGAUGAAUGUUGACAUUUAAAUAUGUGUGUACAGACGUAUAUGUGGAAUGAUUAUGUGACCAACUAAGGUGAAAAAUUAUUCUUAGUGAUUUGAGAUUUGAACUCAAUAUGUUUGAUGAGUUGUAUAGAUGAUACAAUGAUAAGAG
Molecule: long non-coding RNA, 1062 nt
Filed under: Theobroma cacao (cacao)
Lineage: Eukaryota; Viridiplantae; Streptophyta; Magnoliopsida; Malvales; Malvaceae
Description: long non-coding RNA (TCAC_LNC000374)
Source: RNAcentral